GCUACCAACCCUUAACUGUUUGGAGUUUAAAUUGGAAGUGCCCUUCUGGUACGAGGCCUGACCGGAGGCUUUUAAUCUGGUACCACGGGUAACCAGGAGCCCACGGAACUUGUUCCGUCCUGGUUAGUUGGUGCGGCCCUUCGGGGAGUAUCGUGGUGGUUGUGGUUUAACACCCAAAUGCGGGUAGAGCAUCGCUCGACGUGGAGUUGCGUCAUACAACCGGGUUCCGUGACCCAGAUUACGGAAGAGGCUUAGAUAGUCCUCGUGCCAAACCAAGGUAGAAGUCACAACCAAACAGUCGUGUCUUUAAUUGGUACCUGCGGAAUUGUUCCAAGGGGGCGGUGAUUGACGCUUGAAUUAAUCCUAUACUAGGAACCGUGAGAUUAAGCCAUCGCGGCAGGUGCUCACGUUAAGCCCACUGACUUUCAUGUCCCUAUCUACUAUCUAGCGAAACCACAGCCAAGGGAACGGGCUUGGAAUAAUUAGCGGGGAAAGAAGACCCUUUUGAGCUUGACUCUAAUCUGGCAGUGUAAGGAGACAUAAGAGGUGUAGAAUAAGUGGGAGAUAUUAGACUUCGGUUUGGUAUCGACAAUGAAAUACCACUACUCUUAUUGUUUCCUUACUUACUUGAUUAAAUGGAACGUGUAUCAUUUCCUAGCCAUUAUACGGAUAUAAUUAUUAUGUCUUAUGGUAUUGGGUUUUGAUGCAAGCUUCUUGAUCAAAGUAUCACGAGUUUGUUAUAUAAUCGCAAACAAAUUCUUUAAUGAGAGAAUGCAUUUAUGUAUUAUUGAUUUAAAAAUUUGGUAUAACUCCAAUUACUCAGGUAUGAUCCAAUUCAAGGACAUUGCCAGGUAGGGAGUUUGACUGGGGCGGUACAUCUCUCAAAUAAUAACGGAGGUGUCCCAAGGCCAGCUCAGUGCGGACAGAAACCACACAUAGAGCAAAAGGGCAAAUGCUGACUUGAUCUCGGUGUUCAGUACACACAGGGACAGCAAAAGCUCGGCCUAUCGAUCCUUUUGGUUUAAAGAG
This 1029-nucleotide non-coding RNA is filed under the name Drosophila virilis. RNAcentral describes it as "Eukaryotic large subunit ribosomal RNA". It matches the Rfam family "Eukaryotic large subunit ribosomal RNA", at positions 2008 to 2789 of the family's 3401-position model. Lineage: Eukaryota; Metazoa; Arthropoda; Insecta; Diptera; Drosophilidae. The record is from Rfam by way of RNAcentral.